Molecule: long non-coding RNA, 601 nt
Organism: Columba livia (rock pigeon)
Lineage: Eukaryota; Metazoa; Chordata; Aves; Columbiformes; Columbidae
Exons: 3
Source: RefSeq, a predicted model, not a curated record
GUUUUAAAGUUUGCCUCUGUUGGUGAUCCUUUCAACUUAUGAAACAGCUUAUAUAAAACUGAAUGUAAGAAUUAACAAGGUAAAGGAGUACAUCCAUUUGGUGUCUUUACUGCUGGAAAAAUAAUGGUGUGCAUCAGACAUCUUCCUGUGACAUGAGAAAUUGAGAUUGUGAAGUCUCUUGCUACAAGCAAAAACUGAUGUCCAUUUCAGGAGAAAUGAACUUCAUAUUUCCACUUCCUGGUCUAUUUAUAUUUAUCUCAACAGCUUUUAGAUAGUGAAAUGUAGCAUCAACAGGAAGAAAACACUGUUGCAAAGUACAUAGAAAGUUAGGUGAUAAAUGUAUAGAAAUUACUGCUAUUACUGUAGUACUGCACUGUCAUGUGUUGUUAUACUCUUUAUGUGCUCAAAAGAAAGUGACGACUCGUUUUCCCUCCAGCCUCUACAUGCUGGCAUUUGCUUGCCUUUGAUUUCAUUCCUGAUGCUAAUUUUAUACUGGUGCUGAGGUGACCUUUAUAUGUACCACAUUUCCAGGUGUUGCCUACUUUCACCCAUGCAAUAACCAUUUUUUGUGUUUCCAAUGAAAUAAAGCACUGGGGACUAA